Molecule: ribosomal RNA, 481 nt
Filed under: uncultured bacterium
Lineage: Bacteria
Description: bacterial SSU rRNA
Rfam family: Bacterial small subunit ribosomal RNA
Source: RNAcentral
AUGAACGCUAGCGGCAGGCCUAAUACAUGCAAGUCGAGGGGCAGCGGGUGUAGCAAUACAUGCCGGCGACCGGCGCACGGGUGCGUAACACGUAUACAAUCUACCUAUCACUGGAGAAUAGCCCGGAGAAAUCCGGAUUAAUACUCCAUAACAAAUCGGGUGGCAUCACUUGAUUUUAAAAGUUCCGACGGUGAUUGAUGAGUAUGCGACUGAUUAGCCAGUUGGUGAGGUAACGGCUCACCAAAGCAACGAUCAGUAGGGGUACUGAGAGGUUAAACCCCCACACUGGUACUGAGACACGGACCAGACUCCUACGGGAGGCAGCAGUAAGGAAUAUUGGUCAAUGGAGGAAACUCUGAACCAGCCAUGCCGCGUGCAGGAAGAAGGACCUAUGGUUUGUAAACUGCUUUUGUACGGGAGAAAACCCCCCUACGUGUAGGGGGCUGAUAGUACCGUAAGAAUAAGCAUCGGCUAACUUCGU